ANUUUCAACAACGGAUCUCUUGGCUCUCGCAUCGAUGAAGAACGCAGCGAAAUGCGAUAAGUAAUGUGAAUUGCAGAAUUCAGUGAAUCAUCGAAUCUUUGAACGCACCUUGCGCUCCUUGGUAUUCCGAGAGGCAUGCCUGUUUGAGUGUCAU
Molecule: ribosomal RNA, 154 nt
Filed under: uncultured fungus
Lineage: Eukaryota; Fungi
Description: partial 5.8S ribosomal RNA
Rfam family: 5.8S ribosomal RNA
About the family: 5.8S ribosomal RNA (5.8S rRNA) is a component of the large subunit of the eukaryotic ribosome. It is transcribed by RNA polymerase I as part of the 45S precursor that also contains 18S and 28S rRNA. Functionally, it is thought that 5.8S rRNA may be involved in ribosome translocation.
Source: RNAcentral